Molecule: unclassified non-coding RNA, 207 nt
Filed under: plant metagenome
Description: partial contains small subunit ribosomal RNA, internal transcribed spacer 1, and 5.8S ribosomal RNA
Source: RNAcentral
UUUCCGUAGGUGAACCUGCGGAAGGAUCAUUCAUAAUAAGUGUUUUAUGGCACUUUUUUAAAUCCAUAUCCACCUUGUGUGCAAUGUCAGGGUUGGUCUCUCCUGAUCAGCCCCAAACAUCAACUAUUAUCUCAACUCUUUGUCUGAAAAAUAUUAUGAAUAAAACAAUUCAAAAUACAACUUUCAACAACGGAUCUCUUGGCUCUC